This 261-nucleotide non-coding RNA is filed under the name Oceanobacillus oncorhynchi. The record is from RNAcentral. Lineage: Bacteria; Bacillati; Bacillota; Bacilli; Caryophanales; Bacillaceae.
UUAAAUACGUUGACGGGAAAAAAGGAAAAGACCAUAGCUUUUACAGAGAUCUGGGGGUGCUGGAAGCCCAGAAUAGCUACUUAUUCCGACAUCGUCCCUGAGUGUCACAUGGAAAGGAAUAUUCCAAUUAUAUGUGACCAGGUGCAUGGUAAUCUAUGUACCUGUUAUCAAACAUAGCUCUAGCAGCUAUUGAGGCAAAGUUUGAAAGAACUUUGUAAAACUGGGUGGUACCGUGAAAAGCAGAUCCUUUUCGCCCCAUAC